Molecule: ribosomal RNA, 461 nt
Filed under: uncultured bacterium
Lineage: Bacteria
Description: bacterial SSU rRNA
Rfam family: Bacterial small subunit ribosomal RNA
Source: RNAcentral
ACGGCAGCGCGGGGCAACCUGGCGGCGAGUGGCGAACGGGUGAGUAAUAUAUCGGAACGUACCCUGGAGUGGGGGAUAACGUAGCGAAAGUUACGCUAAUACCGCAUACGAUCUAAGGAUGAAAGUGGGGGAUCGCAAGACCUCAUGCUCCUGGAGCGGCCGAUAUCUGAUUAGCUAGUUGGUGGGGUAAAGGCCUACCAAGGCAUCGAUCAGUAGCUGGUCUGAGAGGACGACCAGCCACACUGGAACUGAGACACGGUCCAGACUCCUACGGGAGGCAGCAGUGGGGAAUUUUGGACAAUGGGCGAAAGCCUGAUCCAGCAAUGCCGCGUGAGUGAAGAAGGCCUUCGGGUUGUAAAGCUCUUUUGUCAGGGAAGAAACGGUGAGUUCUAAUACAGCUUGCUAAUGACGGUACCUGAAGAAUAAGCACCGGCUAACUACGUGCCAGCAGCCGCGGUAAU